AAGACUAUAGACCUGCGGAGUACCUGCGGAGGGAUCAUUAAAGAGUUUAACUACUCAAACCAUUGUGAACCUUACCUCAACCGUUGCUUCGGCGGGCGGGCCCGGGCCAAGCCCGGCGCCCCCCCGGCCCCUCGCGGGCGCCCGCCGGAGGUUAACCGAACCCUUGAAUUGUAUGGCCUCUCUGAGUCUUCUGUACUGAAUAAGUCAAAACUUUCAACAAUGGAUCUCUAGAUCGGAAGA
Molecule: unclassified non-coding RNA, 240 nt
Filed under: soil metagenome
Description: partial contains 5.8S ribosomal RNA, internal transcribed spacer 2, and large subunit ribosomal RNA
Source: RNAcentral